UGGGGAAUAUUGCACAAUGGGCGCAAGCCUGAUGCAGCCAUGCCGCGUGUAUGAAGAAGGCCUUCGGGUUGUAAAGUACUUUCAGCGGGGAGGAAGGUGUUGUGGUUAAUAACCACAGAAAUUGACGUUACCCGCAGAAGAAGCACCGGCUAACUCCGUGCCAGCAGCCGCGGUAAUACGGAGGGUGCAAGCGUUAAUCGGAAUUACUGGGCGUAAAGCGCACGCAGGCGGUCUGUCAAGUCGGAUGUGAAAUCCCCGGGCUCAACCUGGGAACUGCAUCCGAAACUGGCAGGCUUGAGUCUUGUAGAGGGGGGUAGAAUUCCAGGUGUAGCGGUGAAAUGCGUAGAGAUCUGGAGGAAUACCGGUGGCGAAGGCGGCCCCCUGGACAAAGACUGACGCUCAGGUGCGAAAGCGUGGGGAGCAAACA
Molecule: ribosomal RNA, 427 nt
Filed under: uncultured bacterium
Lineage: Bacteria
Description: partial 16S ribosomal RNA
Rfam family: Bacterial small subunit ribosomal RNA
Source: RNAcentral